Molecule: long non-coding RNA, 1437 nt
Filed under: Gadus morhua (Atlantic cod)
Lineage: Eukaryota; Metazoa; Chordata; Actinopteri; Gadiformes; Gadidae
Description: lncRNA (ENSGMOG00000023075.1)
Source: RNAcentral
AUGCAAUUAACAAUGUAUUGCAGAGACAUGGUCACAAUAUGGACUCUAAUGUUGUUUUUAGUGCUACCUCCAAAGGUGCAGUUGUCCUCUUGUAAGCGAAGAAAGACAUUUAUAGAGCGCAACUAUCCAUUGGUAAUGCCAGUAGAGUACCAUUUAGAAGCACCUGGUCAUACCAUGAUGUAUGUUCCAAUCCUUCAAAUGAUUCAGGAGCUGUUUAAAAACACAGAUAUCCUGAGCAAGAUCAGAGAACCAAACACUGAGCCUGGUUAUUAUGUGUCAUAUCGUGAUGGCUCUCAUUUCCAGGAAAAUGAAUUGCUCUCAACAGAAGAUCUACACCUAGCAAUACAGCUAUACAUUGACGAUCUUGAAAUCGCUAACCCUCUCGGCACAUCACGUAAAGUUCACAAACUUUGUGCUGUAUACUGGGUCCUAGCAAAUGUGCCGCCCAAGUAUAGAGCAGCAAUGCACACUAUACAGUUGGCCAUGCUAGCUAAAGUGACAGACCUCAAGAAAUAUGGAUAUGCAGCUGUACUUGCUCCACUGGUUCGUGAUAUUCACACGCUUGAACAGGAUGGUGUUUUCAUUGAAUCUGUUGGUCAGAAUGUGAAAGGCACCAUCUUCUGUGUUUCUGCUGACAAUCUGGCUGCACAUGGGUUAGGUGGCUUUUUGGAGUCAUUCAGAGCAGGUUAUGUUUGCAGAUUCUGCAUGGCCACAAGUGAACAGUUUCAAACAACUGAGGUAAAAAAGGAGGAAUUUGUACAGAGAACCAAAGCGAGUCAUGACAUUCAUGUACAAAAUGUCCUCCAAGAUGAGAGUUCAAGGAGCCAAUUUGGGGUUAAAGGUGAUUGUGUCUUGCGUGAGUCACUUGAGCACUUCCACCCUAUCACAGGUUUUCCUCCAGAUCUACUACACGAUCUUUUGGAAGGAAUCGUUCCAGUUGAACUGGCACUUUGCAUUAGAGAAAUGAUUCGGCUUAAGUACUUCACUUUAGAGUAUUUGAACCAAAGGAUCACAUCAUUCCCAUAUCAGCACACUGAUAAAGUAAAUAAACCUCAUCCAGUUCCCAAAACAUUAAUGACCCGGGGAACAAUAGGAGGCAACGGGCAUGAAAAUGCUGCGCUGUUAAGACUACUUCCGUUACUUGUAGGAAGUAAAGUACCAGAGGGUAAUGUUGCAUGGGAGGUUUUGAUGGACUUGAAAGAGUUGGUGGAAUUAGCAUUGUGCCCAUCAUUUUCUGAUGAAACAUUGGACUAUUUUGUUUGCAAAAUCAGUGACCACAGACAGAUCCUACAAGAGGGUUUCCCUGAGUUGAGGCUUCGUCCUAAGCAUCACUAUGUGGAGCACUAUCCCACCUUAGUUAAGUGCUUCGGGCCCCUGGUGCAUGUUUGGACCAUGCGAUUUGAAGGUAAACAUCGUUUCUUUAAGAGUGGUGCAUGA